Molecule: long non-coding RNA, 413 nt
Organism: Lynx canadensis (Canada lynx)
Lineage: Eukaryota; Metazoa; Chordata; Mammalia; Carnivora; Felidae
Exons: 3
Source: RefSeq, a predicted model, not a curated record
AAGGGAGAGGUGAAGGGAGGCUCUGCUCAGCUGUGACGCAACAGAAGGCAGGAUCGGUGCUGACCUCCACCAUGGCCUGGUCCCCUCUCCUCCUCACCCUCCUCGCUCACUGCACAGGGUCGUGGGCUCAGUCGGGGCUGACUCAACCAUCCUCAGUGUCUGGGGCCCUGGGCCAGAGGGUCACUAUCUCCUGCACUGGAGUUGGUAGUUGGGUGGGCUGGUACCAACAAAUCCCAGGAAUGGCCCCCAAAACCAUCAUCUAUGAUAAUAGCAACUGACCCUCAGGGAUCCCAGAUUGAUUCUCCGGCUCCAAGUCUGGCAGCACAGCCACCCUGACCAUCACUGGGCUCCAGGCCGAGGACGAGGCUGAUUAUUACUGCUCAUCGAGGGACAGCAGUGGCAGAGAUUUUUUC